AUUUUGCCGCAGCGUGGGUGAUUAAGGACUUCACAUCUGCGGCUGUGCGCCCGCCAGAAAGUCUAAAUCAAAGUUUCCUCGUGUCAGGUGCGCAUCGGCACCCAUUUCCACCCUUUCAAUAAAGCAGAGAAUUGCUUCCACUGCCCUUGUUUUUUUCCUGAAGAGAAUUCAAGAUACCAUUUACAGCUCUCAGUCUGUGUUCUGGAAAAGAGGGUAGAAGGCCUUAGCACCAGUGUGCCAGCCUUCUGGAAAUGGAACAUAAUUUGCUCAUGCCAAAAAGAUUUUGGUGAGGCUUUGGCAGCUAGCCUAUGUGUCUGUGUCAAGGAUUACACUGCUUAUCACUGAGUCCCGAUACCUAGCCUGACGUGCAACUGCUGGUUUUUAAACUAGAAUACCACUGGCUCUCCUAUGACAACAAGACCCUGGGACUUCUCAGCCUCCACAACUAUGAGAGCCAAUUCCUUAUAUACCACAAAACCUGGUCCUCACUGGAUGGAAGUACAAAUGGAUACUAAAUGGAUACUAUGCAAUAAAGACAUUAUUAGUAUGAACAAAGUGCUUAGUAAUGAAGACGAGAGAAUGAUUGGUUCUGCCUGACAAAUGAGGGUGGAUACUGGUUUCUACUGCCCGAAGUUACUCAACCCUCAUCGUUGUGGUUACAUUUUUACACUAUCCAAGUAUUUGUAGCCAAAGAAGACAUUGAAAAGUGUUCCUGAGAUUGAGGGAAGUAUUUACAACUCAAAAGGGAAGACACUAAGAAUAAAUCAUAAUCUUGAUAAUGAUGUUAAAAGUUUACAUUUUUAACCCUGAAGAGCAGGAAUCCACAAUCUAU
This is a long non-coding RNA of Prionailurus viverrinus (fishing cat), 832 nucleotides long. RefSeq lists it as uncharacterized. The record is from RefSeq and is a predicted model, not a curated record. The transcript is spliced from 4 exons. Lineage: Eukaryota; Metazoa; Chordata; Mammalia; Carnivora; Felidae.